UACGGGGGGGGCAAGCGUUGUUCGGAAUUACUGGGCGUAAAGGGCGCGUAGGCGGCCUGCUAAGUCGGACGUGAAAUCCCUCGGCUCAACCGGGGAACUGCGUCCGAUACUGGCGAGGCUUGAAUCCGGGAGAGGGAUGUGGAAUUCCAGGUGUAGCGGUGAAAUGCGUAGAUAUCUGGAGGAACACCGGUGGCGAAGGCGGCAUCCUGGACCGGCAUUGACGCUGAGGCGCGAAAGCCAGGGGAGCAAACGGG
This 254-nucleotide ribosomal RNA is filed under the name uncultured bacterium. RNAcentral describes it as "partial 16S ribosomal RNA". It matches the Rfam family "Bacterial small subunit ribosomal RNA", at positions 524 to 776 of the family's 1533-position model. The record is from RNAcentral.